GGAACAAUCACAGAGGACGACGAGAACUUUGUUGUGAGCCGACUACAGAGAGAGCUCCAACACACGGGAAUCAAACAAUACAACUGCAGCAACACAUCGCAUACAACACAGAGUGAACAUUCACCAGAGAAAGCUUCCCCAUAUUCCGAGGACAAUCAAAGUCUCCCAAUUACUUAUAUCAUCGGUAAGUACUUCAAAAUGAUAUCCUAUACCAGGAU
Molecule: long non-coding RNA, 218 nt
Organism: Ostrea edulis (European flat oyster)
Lineage: Eukaryota; Metazoa; Mollusca; Bivalvia; Ostreida; Ostreidae
Exons: 3
Source: RefSeq, a predicted model, not a curated record